GACAUACACCGGAACGGGCGGUGAAAGCGUCCGGCCCCGUUCCGGGGCCGGUGUACAGGUGCUGCAUGGCUGUCGUCAGCUCGUGCUGUGAAGUGUUGGGUUAAGUCCCCGCAACGAGCGCAACCCCUGCUAUCUGUUGCCAGCAAGUGAUGUUGGGGACUCAGAUGGAACUGCCGGUGACAAACCGGAGGAAGGUGGGGACGACGUCAAGUCAUCAUGGCCCUUAUGUCCUGGGCUACACACGUGCUACAAUGGCCGGUACAGAGCGCAGCUAGGCCGCGAGGCGGAGCGAAUCGCGAAAAGCCGGUCUCAGUACGGAUUGGAGUCUGAAACCCGACUCCAUGAAGUUGGAAUCGCUAGUAAUCGCGCAUCAGCAUGGCGCGGUGAAUACGUUCCCGGGCCUU
This 404-nucleotide ribosomal RNA is filed under the name uncultured Spirochaeta sp. RNAcentral's name for it is "bacterial SSU rRNA". It matches the Rfam family "Bacterial small subunit ribosomal RNA", at positions 983 to 1382 of the family's 1533-position model. The record is from RNAcentral. Lineage: Bacteria; Pseudomonadati; Spirochaetota; Spirochaetia; Spirochaetales; Spirochaetaceae.